GAUGAACGCUGGCGGCGUGCCUAAUACAUGCAAGUCGAGCGAACAGACGAGGAGCUUGCUCCUCUGACGUUAGCGGCGGACGGGUGAGUAACACGUGGAUAACCUACCUAUAAGACUGGGAUAACUUCGGGAAACCGGAGCUAAUACCGGAUAAUAUAUUGAACCGCAUGGUUCAAUAGUGAAAGACGGUUUUGCUGUCACUUAUAGAUGGAUCCGCGCCGCAUUAGCUAGUUGGUAAGGUAACGGCUUACCAAGGCAACGAUGCGUAGCCGACCUGAGAGGGUGAUCGGCCACACUGGAACUGAGACAUGGUCCAGACUCCUACGGGAGGCAGCAGUAGGGAAUCUUCCGCAAUGGGCGAAAGCCUGACGGAGUAACGCCGCGUGAGUGAUGAAGGUCUUCGGAUCGUAAAACUCUGUUAUUAGGGAAGAACAAAUGUGUAAGUAACUAUGCACGUCUUGACGGUACCUAAUCAGAAAGCCACGGCUAACUACGUG
Molecule: ribosomal RNA, 497 nt
Filed under: uncultured bacterium
Lineage: Bacteria
Description: partial 16S ribosomal RNA
Rfam family: Bacterial small subunit ribosomal RNA
Source: RNAcentral